This 72-nucleotide transfer RNA is filed under the name Nippostrongylus brasiliensis. It matches the Rfam family "tRNA". From Rfam's summary of the family: Transfer RNA (tRNA) molecules are approximately 80 nucleotides in length. Their secondary structure includes four short double-helical elements and three loops (D, anti-codon, and T loops). The record is from Rfam by way of RNAcentral. Lineage: Eukaryota; Metazoa; Nematoda; Chromadorea; Rhabditida; Heligmosomidae.
GUCUCAGUGGCAUAGUGGUUAGUGCACAGCAUCGGAUAGGUUGAGACGCGGGUUCGAAUCCCGCCUGAGAUG